UUCACCUGCAAGAGACAUCCCACCCAAAAAGUGAAUGGAACAAGUCCUGACAGAUCCAUUCUGUGGUGAAAAGCACUCCAGUGCUCAAAGUCCUGUUCAGGGAUCACAGAGAUCACUCAAACCCAACCUUAAGGCAGUCAAUUAACUGUUGCCUCUUCAUUUUCAUGCUGUGCAAUUAAGCUGAUCUUAGUCUUUAAGGAGAGCAUCCUUGAGUCUGGCUAAUAUUUCAGAGGGCAAAACUCUCCAGAGCAGCUAUUGGGUCUGUGCUGUGUGUGUUAGGGCCACAACAGCAGUGUCAGGUGUUUAGGGAACUGCCUUUAAGCUAAAUCUGACUUUGAAAAACAUGGUAGGCAGCCACCAAGAAAAUAGUUUUGCUUAAAUACAGCGUGAGCCUUAAAUAUCUUACAGAUAUUGGCCCUCAUCCUUUGUACUUAUGCACAAGGCUCAAGGGAUAAAUCCUUUAUGUACUGCACAGCUCAAUUUGCCUCUGAAGGUGCUCUUAUCAUUGAAAAAUUAAUGAGCUGGAGCUGAAGCAAUGUCUAUUGCCCAGUGUGAGUCACACUUCACUGCAGCAAACAUUCAGCUCAUGUCAGCUUUUCCCCAUGCAAUGUCUCCCUCCUCAGCACCUUCAUUCCUGCCACGUUGCUGGCAGGAUCUCUCUCUCUGGAGAAGAUGGGAGAGUUCUACCAUGCUACUGGCUCAGAAGCUGUUUGAGAUCCUGCUCUUACCUCAGUCAAGAAAGUCUUCUGUGUUUCCUCAUCACAGCGAAUCAGCUCCUUCAUCACCAUCACCUUUCCUGUUGCUUUGUGAGUCACCUGGUGGAAACAAAACCCACAACUACAGGCAAGGUUCAAGAAUACACAGCUCCAAUGUUCCUGCAACUUCUUUAGAAGUGCACAUUCCCCUCCAUCCAGAGAAGAAUAGAGAUGGGAGGAAAUUCAGAGCCCAGGGAUCUGCUGAAAACCAUGUGAAACUUCUCCUUUUGGAAUUCACUGAAUCUGCUGUAUGUGAAACAGAAACUACCUAAAGCUGACAGAGCACCAUGCCAAGAUCCAGAGCUGAAGGCUCCAGUUUGGGCAGCACAGGGCUGAGUGUGCACACAGGCUGCCAAAGCCUCCACACUGGUGCAUGCUCCAAGUUCCCUUAUGGAACAGAUCUGUCCAGAGGGAUGCUCACAUUUUGUACACAGGCUUCACUAACUGCAUUCUGUAUCAGCAAAAGAAUCAAUGUUCAUUUGCAUCAGAAACCAAACCAAAGAACCCAAAACUGCAUUAUAAAUACUUUGGCUUUAUGGGGAAUCUCAUCCACAUGCAAGUGGAACUGGAAUGCACAGGCUGUUCAGUUAAGGCAAGAAGCAGUUAAUUUUACCUUGCUUCUUUGGAGCAGUGUGUCUCAACAUGCAAGGAAUGUCCUAGAACAGUGCAAAACACAAAGAAAUCCAUCACAAUAAUAAGGUAAUAAAUUUCCUGGCUCUUGACAUAGAAAGCAUUUCCAGUUCCUCAAGAACUGUGUGCCUGUCUCCAACUAGUUCCUGGCAUUUUGCUGUAUUAUGGAGGCUUUUUGUAACCAGCUCAGGCUUGCUUGCACAGGGUGCAGGAGUGAGUAGAAAGGAUCCAAAUUCCUAUGAGCAUGUUUUCCUGGAAAUCCUCUCCUCUUCAUUUGCUUAACUUGGACAGCUCUGGUUCCCUAAGAUCUGCAGUGAACUGAACAACCACCUUGCCUCUCUGAUCAGAAGAGAAUUAUGUGACCAGAUACAAGACUUGCUGCAUCACACCCAGUCAAUCUGAAGCCUAAGAAAAAUGUCACUUUUUUUUUUUUUCUUUUUUAAGGUAGGAGGCAAAAAAGUCCUUUAGAAAACCUCUAGAACUAAAAUCCAGAACACAUGACCCAGUUACAGUAUUUAGGAAGCUUAUGAGUUCUUGCAAACACUGUGACACACCAGUUGUGUUUGGAGCCAUGGACAUCACAAAGCUGACACAGGUGGAACGUGAGUGCAUGGAACAACACAACAGAAGCAAGAGUACAAUAUUCUUCUGCUCCCAUCUGAAAUCAAGCAUCCAUACACAGAACUUCACCAUGAAUCAGGUCACAGGGCCGGAAGAUUUGCUGGGAGCAGCUGGAAGAGGAGCGCAGGGAUUCAGAACGACUGAUGUCACGGCUCAGAAGGAGAGGUUCCUUUGGAGAGCUGGGGCCCGGAGACUUGGAAAUGCUGUUACUUCUCCUGGAAAACAAGGAGGACAGGAAGAUCAGGGAAGCUGCUGGGUAACCUUUGGUCCCAUCAUUCAUUGCAAAGGGACCACUUUCUAAUGUGCUCCAGUGCUUUCACUAUCUCCAAACCCAGAUGCUCUCCCAGGACUGUGGAAGCUCCUUAUGAAUCCAGAGCAGCUUCCAAGUCAGAGCUGCCUAACAGCAACAACAAGCUCUGCUGCACUGGCAGUCUGAGGUGGAGCUCUGAGAACCGGGGGAGGAAGCUGUGAAGACACAUCACUUGCUAUCUCUAAACAAACUGGUAGGAACUAAA
This is a long non-coding RNA of Passer domesticus (house sparrow), 2521 nucleotides long. RefSeq lists it as uncharacterized. The transcript is spliced from 2 exons. The record is from RefSeq and is a predicted model, not a curated record. Lineage: Eukaryota; Metazoa; Chordata; Aves; Passeriformes; Passeridae.